GGGCACCUACGGGGCGCAGCAGUGAGGAAUAUUGGUCAAUGGGCGGGAGCCUGAACCAGCCAAGCCGCGUGAGGGAAGAAGGUACAGCGUAUCGUAAACCUCUUUUGUCAGGGAACAAAGGCGGGGACUAGUCCCCGGAUGAGGGUACCUGAAGAAAAAGCAUCGGCUAACUCCGUGCCAGCAGCCGCGGUAAUACGUAUGGUGCAAGCGUUAUCCGGAUUUACUGGGUGUAAAGGGAGCGCAGGCGGCACGGCAAGCCUGAUGUGAAAGCCCGCGGCCCAACCGCGGGACUGCAUUGGGAACUA
Molecule: ribosomal RNA, 305 nt
Filed under: uncultured bacterium
Lineage: Bacteria
Description: bacterial SSU rRNA
Rfam family: Bacterial small subunit ribosomal RNA
Source: RNAcentral